RNAcentral lists this ribosomal RNA (274 nucleotides) under uncultured bacterium. RNAcentral's name for it is "partial 16S ribosomal RNA". It matches the Rfam family "Bacterial small subunit ribosomal RNA", at positions 523 to 796 of the family's 1533-position model. The record is from RNAcentral.
AUACAGAGGGUGCGAGCGUUAAUCGGAAUUACUGGGCGUAAAGCGCGCGUAGGCGGCUUAUUAAGUCAGAUGUGAAAUCCCCGGGCUCAACCUGGGAACCGCAUCUGAUACUGGUAAGCUAGAGUUUUGGAGAGGGAAGUAGAAUUUCAGGUGUAGCGGUGAAAUGCAUAGAGAUCUGAAGGAAUACCAGUGGCGAAGGCGACUUCCUGGCCAAAAACUGACGCUGAGGUGCGAAAGCGUGGGUAGCAAACGGGAUUAGAAACCCUAGUAGUCC